Molecule: ribosomal RNA, 449 nt
Filed under: uncultured bacterium
Lineage: Bacteria
Description: partial 16S ribosomal RNA
Rfam family: Bacterial small subunit ribosomal RNA
Source: RNAcentral
AGCGAACGCUGGCGGCAGGCCUAACACAUGCAAGUCGAACGAAGUCUUCGGACUUAGUGGCGGACGGGUGAGUAACACGUGGGAACGUACCUUUUGGUUCGGAACAACUCAGGGAAACUUGAGCUAAUACCGGAUGAGCCCUUAGGGGGAAAGAUUUAUCGCCGAAAGAGCGGCCCGCGUUAGAUUAGCUAGUUGGUGAGGUAAAGGCUCACCAAGGCUACGAUCUAUAGCUGGUCUGAGAGGAUGAUCAGCCACACUGGGACUGAGACACGGCCCAGAUUCUUACGGGAGGCAGCAGUGGGGAAUCUUGCGCAAUGGGCGAAAGCCUGACGCAGCCAUGCCGCGUGAAUGAUGAAGGUCUUAGGAUAGUAAAAUUCUUUUACCAGGGACGAUAAUGACGGUACCUGGAGAAAAAGCCCCGGCUAACUUCGUGCCAGCCGCCGCCGUAA